AUAAUUUAACGGCCGCGGUAUACUGACCGUGCGAAGGUAGCAUAAUCACUUGUUCUUUAAAUGGGGACUAGUAUGAAUGGCACCACGAGGGCUUUACUGUCUCCUCUCUUCAAUCAGUGAAACUGACCUCCCUGUGAAGAGGCAGGGAUACUACUAUAAGACGAGAAGACCCCAUGGAGCUUUAAACCCAACAACAGCCCAAACACCUACCCCCUCAAAGUUUUUAAAGUUUUUGUUAGUUGGUUUUAGGUUGGGGUGACCGCGGAGUAUAAACCACCCUCCACGACGAAUGGGCCUACCCCCUUACCCAAGAAUUACACCUCUAAGGAUUAACACAUUAACGUAAAAUGAUCCAAAUAUUUUGAUCAACGAACCAAGUUACCCUGGGGAUAACAGCGCAAUCCAUUUUUUAGAGCCCCUAUCGACAAAUGGGUUUACGACCUCGAUGUUGGAUCAGGGUAUCCCGGAGGUGCAGCCGCUUCCAAUGGUUUGUUUGUUCAACGAAUUAAAACCCUACGU
RNAcentral lists this ribosomal RNA (519 nucleotides) under Euphlyctis cyanophlyctis (skittering frog). RNAcentral's name for it is "partial 16S rRNA". It matches the Rfam family "Bacterial large subunit ribosomal RNA", at positions 1919 to 2601 of the family's 2925-position model. Lineage: Eukaryota; Metazoa; Chordata; Amphibia; Anura; Dicroglossidae. The record is from RNAcentral.